AGUGAACGCUGGCGGUAGGCCUAACACGUGCAAGUCGAACGGCAGCACAGUAAGAGCUUGCUCUUACGGGUGGCGAGUGGCGGACGGGUGAGGAAUACAUCGGAAUCUACUUUUUCGUGGGGGAUAACGUAGGGAAACUUACGCUAAUACCGCAUACGACCUACGGGUGAAAGCAGGGGAUCUUCGGACCUUGCGCGAUUGAAUGAGCCGAUGUCGGAUUAGCUAGUUGGCGGGGUAAAGGCCCACCAAGGCGACGAUCCGUAGCUGGUCUGAGAGGAUGAUCAGCCACACUGGAACUGAGACACGGUCCAGACUCCUACGGGAGGCAGCAGUGGGGAAUAUUGGACAAUGGGUGCAAGCCUGAUCCAGCCAUACCGCGUGGGUGAAGAAGGCCUUCGGGUUGUAAAGCCCUUUUGUUGGGAAAGAAAAGCAGCAGGUUAAUACCCCGCUGUUCUGACGGUACCCAAAGAAUAAGCACCGGCUAACUUCGUG
This 492-nucleotide ribosomal RNA is filed under the name uncultured bacterium. Its description in RNAcentral is "partial 16S ribosomal RNA". It matches the Rfam family "Bacterial small subunit ribosomal RNA", at positions 29 to 507 of the family's 1533-position model. The record is from RNAcentral.